RNAcentral lists this ribosomal RNA (559 nucleotides) under uncultured archaeon. RNAcentral's name for it is "bacterial SSU rRNA". It matches the Rfam family "Archaeal small subunit ribosomal RNA", at positions 319 to 879 of the family's 1478-position model. The record is from RNAcentral.
GGCCCUAUGGGGCGCAGCAGGCGCGAAACCUUUACAAUGCACGCAAGUGUGAUAAGGGAAUCCUAAGUGCUUUGCUUUUAGUAAGGCUUUUGUCAAGAGUAAAUAUCUUGAUGAAUAAGUGAUGGGCAAGACUGGUGCCAGCAGCUGCGGUAACACCAGCGUCACAAGUGGCAAUCGUAUUUAUUUGGCCUAAAGCGUUCGUAGCCGGUUUUGUAAGUCUUUUGUGAAAUCGUUGUGCUUAACAUAACGGCGUGCAAAAGAUACUGCGAGACUUGGAACCGGGAAGAGUUAGAGGAAUUUUGAGGGGAGCGGUAAAAUGCUAUAAUCCUCGAAAGACCACCUGUGGCGAAGGCGUCUAACUGGAACGGAUUCGACGGUGAGGAACGAAAGCUAGGGGAGCGAACCGGAUUAGAUACCCGAGUAGUCCUAGCUGUAAACGCUGCGAGCAAGGUGUUGCACAUUCUUCGUGAAUGUGCAGUGUCGAAACGAAGGUGUUAAGCUCGCCGCCUGGGAAGUACGGUCGCAAGGCUGAAACUUAAAGGAAUUGGCGGGGGAGCAC